RNAcentral lists this ribosomal RNA (253 nucleotides) under uncultured bacterium. RNAcentral's name for it is "partial 16S ribosomal RNA". It matches the Rfam family "Bacterial small subunit ribosomal RNA", at positions 524 to 776 of the family's 1533-position model. The record is from RNAcentral.
UACGUAGGGUGCGAGCGUUAAUCGGAAUUACUGGGCGUAAAGCGUGCGCAGGCGGUUUUGUAAGCCGGAUGUGAAAUCCCCGGGCUCAACCUGGGAACUGCAUUUGUGACUGCAUGGCUAGAGUACGGCAGAGGGGGAUGGAAUUCCGCGUGUAGCAGUGAAAUGCGUAGAUAUGCGGAGGAACACCGAUGGCGAAGGCAAUCCCCUGGGCCUGUACUGACGCUCAUGCACGAAAGCGUGGGGAGCAAACAGG